AUCAUGGCUCUCUGUUAGCGUGGAUCUGGCGCAGCCCUCGCUUUGCAGAUGGGACACUGAGGGCUCCAGAGAGAAGGGACUGGACCAGGGUUAGAACCCAGAGCUGUCUCCCAGUCACUGGCCGCCUUAAACCAAGGAAGUGUGGUGCGGCCUUGAAGGGCUGCACGUAAGGCUCUGGCCCUGCAGGCGCUCGUUUCUUAGGUGAGUGAAGGUUGUUCCCCGCCGCCGAUGCGUGUGGCAGAUCACCCCUUCCCAAGCUUUAUAAGGAAACUCCCCCAACUUGCCCUGAGGGGUAGAGACCCCACGAGCCCCAGAGCUCUGAGGCCAAGGGAACAGCCACUUCCCCCUUAUCAUGCUUCAAACCUUCCAAACUCCUCCUUGUGGCUACGAGCAGCCCCUAACAGCCUCUCCUACCGUGUCCUGCUCCAAGGCUGCCAGGGCUUUUCCCGGUGCCCUAGGAUUCCCACCCACUGGGUCCCAGCUCAGGGCCUUUGCAUGUGCUGCCCUCUGCCCAGGUCUCCGUAUGACUGGCUUCCAACCACUGUCUCCUCUCAGAGGCCUUUUCUGACCAUGCCACCUGGAGAGCCACCCCGAGCUGCCCGUCGUAUUUAAUCCGUUAUAGCCCUUCUCAUUACCUAGAUUCUCGUGUGUCCUUAGCAGUUUAGGGGAUUGCCAGAAGCAUGUCAGCCCCUGUCCAUCUCUCUCACGGUUGGUCCCCGGCAUCUUGCACAGUGCCUGACAUGUAGUAGACGCUCAGUAAAUAUUUGUGGAAUGAAUGAAUCAUCAAUGGGACCUCAGCCCUCCUGAGCGCUGCUCCUUCCUCUUGGCAGGAAGCCCAGCUUUUGGCUUGGGUACAACCCCGCAGGCUCCUCGGGGCCCACCUGUGCGGGCUGCUGGGCCUGCAGCUCUUCCUGUCCUGGAGACACCACCGUCUCCCCAGGAGCUGGCUCCAGGGCUGAGUGCCUGGUGGCCCCCUCAUCAUUUCCAGGGUGUAGUAGCCCGAGAGCCAGGAUUCCAGCCCAGGCUUCGCUCAAGGACACGCUUGGGGUUCCCGUCGUGGCGCAGUGGUUAACGAAUCCAACUAGGAACCAUGAGGUUGUGGGUUCGAUCCCUGGCCUUGCUCAAUGGGUUAAGGAUCCGGCGUUGCCAUGAGCUAUGGUGUAGGUUGCAGACGCGGCUCGGAUCUGGCGUUGCUGCGGCUCUGGCGUAGGCCGGUGGCUACAGCUCCAAUUCGACCCCUAGCCUGGGAACCUCCAAAUGCUGCGGGAGCGGCC
RNAcentral lists this long non-coding RNA (1274 nucleotides) under Sus scrofa (pig). RNAcentral describes it as "lncRNA (ENSSSCG00000061701.1)". The record is from RNAcentral. Lineage: Eukaryota; Metazoa; Chordata; Mammalia; Artiodactyla; Suidae.